RNAcentral lists this non-coding RNA (137 nucleotides) under Vibrio chagasii. Lineage: Bacteria; Pseudomonadati; Pseudomonadota; Gammaproteobacteria; Vibrionales; Vibrionaceae. The record is from RNAcentral.
CCAUCUGUAUCACCAGAUGACCCUAUGGCUCUGAAUAAAGUAGCGAGCCAGACAAUGUAACGAAGUCAAGUAACUACUUGGCGGGAAGUAAAUCGUGAGAAGAACUUCCUCCUGACAACCACAAAUCGGGUGAGUAC